Non-coding RNA from Podarcis lilfordi (Lilford's wall lizard), 9674 nucleotides. The record is from the annotation of a GenBank genome assembly. Lineage: Eukaryota; Metazoa; Chordata; Lepidosauria; Squamata; Lacertidae.
AGAAACUGGCAUUCUAUUUAUCCAUGGACAGAAAAGCUUUCUUCCUGUUCUGCUGGAAUUGUCUCUGAUUUUUGUCCCGUGGACUGCAAGCAUCUGACAUCACAUCCCGGAUGUGGGGCCAGUCACCUAAUCUCAGCCCUCCAGCACAACAAGUUAAGCUGCAUCCGAUAAAUUAGACUGUAGUCCGUGAAACUUUAUGCCAGGGGUAAGUAACCUUUUUCAGCCGUGGGCCAGUCCACCCUCCCUCAGACCAUGUGGUGGGCCGGACUAUUUUUUUGGGGGGGGGAGUGAAUGAAUUCCUAUGCCCCACAAAUAACCCAGACAUGCAUUUAAAUAAAAGCACACAUUCUUGUUGUUGUUGUUUAGUCGUUUAGUCGUGUCCGACUCUUUGUGACCCCAUGGACCAGAGCACGCCAGGCACUCCUGUCUUCCACUGCCUCCCGCAGCCUGGUCAAACUCAUGCUGGUAGCUUUGAGAACACUGUCCAACCAUCUCGUCCUCUGUCGUCUCCUUCUCCUUGUGCCCUCCAUCUUUCCCAACAUCAGGGUCUUUUCCAGGGAGUCUUCUCUUCUCAUGAGGUGGCCAAAGUAUUGGAGCCUCAGCUUCAGAAUCUGUCCUUCCAGUGAGCACUCAGGGCUGAUUUCCUUUGAUCUUGCAGUCCAUGGGACUCUCAAGAGUCUCCUCCAGCACCAUAAUUCAAAUGCAUCAAUUCUUUGGUGAUCAGCCUUCUUGAUGGUCCAGCUCUCACUUCCAUACAUCACUACUGGGAAAACCAUAGCUUUAACUAUACGGGCCUUUGUUGGCAAGGUGAUGUCUCUGCUUUUUAAGAUGCUAGGAGGUGCUACAGUGGUACCUCGGGUUAAGUACUUAAUUUGUUCCGGAGGUCCGAACUUAACCUGAAACUGUUCUUAACCUGAAGCACCACUUUAGCUAAUGGGGCCUCCUGCUGCUGCCGCGCCGCCGGAGCACGAUUUCUGUUCUCAUCCUGAAGCAAAGUUCUUAACCUGAAGCACUAUUUCUGGGUUAGCGGAGUCUGUAACCUGAAGUGUAUGUAACCUGAAGCAUAUGUAACCCGAGGUACCACUGUACUCAUGUAAAAACAUGCUGAUUCCCGGACCAUCCACAGGCCGGAUUGAGAAGGUGAUUGGGCCGCAUCCGGCCCCCGGGCCUUAGGUUGCCUACCCCUGCUUUAUGCUGUAGCAAAACUGUUGAGGCAGCUGCUCUGACAACUGAGCCACAGAUCAGGUUUAGUUCCCUUUAGAUGAGAGAGCACUGGAGUUUAAGGGUGUUCUGUACCAUGUUUGCUUUACAAAUAGCACAAGGAGAAGCACACGUAAACAGGCCCUCCUCUCGCUGGCAGCAGAUCCCGCGGCCUUUACAAUGGAUUCCCAAAGCAGCCUUACGCAGGUCUCCCAGUUCCAUCUAACUCCAGCCAGAAACUCUCCACUCUCAACCUAACAAAUAAUUGCUCUUUUCCGCACCUCCUGCAGAGCAAUAGUUACCAAUACUUACCCCCAGCUGGUGGAAUUACCCAUGCGGGAUACUUCCACAGCCAUAAAAGGAACAGUACUUUUGCCAAGUUCAUGGCUCCAAUCCGCUCACUGUAAUCAGAAAGCAAAACUCACAUUAUAUGUCCAGAAAGAAGUCUAUGUACUCCCACAGCAAAGGACCAGGGAGACAGGAACUCAGGGUGGGUGAAUCUGUCCAUUUUGGUUUUUCUCAUUUUUCCAAUCUGAAGCUCAGUUCUCCACAUAAGUUUGUGAUUCUACUUUUUCAAAAAGUCCUUGUGAAUAUCUGCAUUUUAGUGCAAUUUUCUCCUAUGUGUGUAAUGUUGCCUAAUAUGCACAUUGCAAAUAAAUUUUCCCACAUGCAUUUUUUUCUAUGCUAUUUUCACUAAUUUUCACUUUGCCCCAGUAUGUGCCAUUUUUUUUGGUGCACACUGCUAUAUUGCAAAACUCGGGACAAAUUUGGAAGAAUGGCAAUGUUUCAGUUAGCAUACAGUUUGGGAAAAUGCAAACCAAAUGGCCUUUAAAUGUGAACUAAAUAAUUAAGACGAUAUAGUCUUUAAUACAGAGUGGAAAUCAUAUGUUGUAUAUUUUCAGAAUUAUUGUAAACAGAUUUAAUCAUUAGCAGGACUGAUGUAAAGACGUGCAGUAACAUAAUAAAUAUUGAAUUAAAGGAGAUAAAUAAUAAUUAGGUUUGACUUGGAAAAGCAGUAAAAGUAUUGUAAACAUAAGCAACCGCGGAACGAGGGGGAAGGAGGUCAAAAUAAGAUAUUGUGGAAAAUGUUGUGUUUGUUUAUUGUAAAAUGAAAAUUAUAAAUAAAACAUUAAAAAUAAAAGUGAACUAAAUUGAUGUUCUCCCCCUGGUGUGCAAAAGCAAAGCAAAAGCAUCCUGUGCCCUUUUAAAAUGUGGUUCUUUUUUUGGGGGGGUGUUGUUUGUAUUUUGAUUAUAUUGUGGUUUUAUAUUUUGAUUAAAUAAACUCACUGGAACUCAGUUCCAGCAACUCUCAGGUGGGCUCCACUGCCAUUAUUAGAAAACAAGACAGGCAUUCAUGAUAAGUUCCGGCACCUCUUUUUUCUAGAAAAAUAGCACUGGUUCUCCCCGAUCCACCAUCAUUGAGAGGUUUCUCACAGGGCACACUGGUGUGGUGUUGUGACUGAGAGCAGGAGCUAUCCCUGCAGUUCAGAUGUCACCUAUCCCAAUAACUCACCACAUGGACUUAGGCAAGAGCCACAUGCCAGCAACAACAAGAAACAAGCAGAUUAGGAAUCAGGAAUAAAACUACUUGCUUCGCUUUAGGAAAAGGAGCAGUCAGAGAAAAUGGAAAGUGUGCCAUUGCUCUUAACACUUAUCUAUCUCACUCAGGAAGUAUAAAGCAAAUCUCAGAGAGCAAAUCUCACCUACUUACAUUUGUUUCUCCGUGCUUUUCGAUACAGUGGUACCUCGGGUUAAGAACUUAAUUCGUUCCGGAGGUCCAUACUUAACCUGAAACUGUUCUUAACCUGAAGCACCACUUUAGCUAAUGGGGUCUCCCACUGCCGCAACGCUGACGCUGCGCGAUUUCUGUUCUCAUCCUGAAGCAAAGUUCUUAACCCGAGGUACUAUUUCUGGGUUAGCAGAGUCUGUAACCUGAAGCGUAUGUAACCCGAGGUGCCACUGUACUCUUAAGCAGGGGUCGGCAAACUAAGGGUCGCAGGCCGGAUCAGGCCCAAUUGCCUUCAGGAUCCGGCCCGCGGACUGUCCGUAGAUCGGUGUGGGGAUUUUGUUCGUUUGGGCUGCGCCAUUCCCCCCCUGCGCCAUUCCAUUCAACCCCUCCCUCUCACACACCGCGACGCCGACACCUCUCCCUCCCUCCUCCCAGCUUCUCCCCGCCCUGCCUAGAGGAGGAAGGGGGCUGGGUUGUGCUGGCUGAGCGCCAUUUUAAGCAGCCCUUCUCCGGCCCGCCACAAGGUCUGAGGGACAGUGGACCGGCCCGCUGCUAAAAAAAAUUGCCAACUCCUGCUCUUAACAAAUAGCGUGAACCAAGGCCAGUCUGUUUAUUUUUUGCUUUGCUUUCCUCUACAAAGUCACAAAAUUCAACCACUGAAAGAAGAAGAAACAUUCCGGAGGUGGAACAUUUUAUGAAUACAUUCUUGACUCAGAGAGGAAGUUUUAAGUCAUCCUUGCUGCUAAGUCCCUUUGGUACACAAGUUUCUUCCACGGAAAAUAACCAGAAGUGACCAGGGGGCGGUAGUGGGGGUGGCGGAAAAUGUGCUAGAAUUCUUCUUGCUCUAGAGGCAUACAAAAUAUUUCAACAGGGGAAGAGCACGAGCACAGAUUAACCACAGCAGUUAUCUGAAUGCAGAAUGACUUUCAGGAAGUCGCACAAGAAUUGCUGCAAUGUGUCUUUUGAAAACACUCCAUAAGCAUGGCUUCUAAUAAAACUAGCAGCAACCUAUGCCUGGGUAGUCCUUCCUGUGUGGCUUUCCCCUCCCACCCUGUGCCACAACACUGAGCCCAGCUGAUAAAAGUAAAAAAAAACCUAGUCCUUUCCCCUUAUGCAUAGCUGUCAACCGUCUCUUAUUUGGUGGGAAAGUCCCUUAUCCCAGCGCUGUGUCCCGCUGCUGUCCCUUAUUGAUGAUGUCCCUUAAAUUUCCUGGGUUUCAAAGGAAGCAGUUCCUCUCCCUCCUUCCCUGCCGGCCAGGGAGGAGGAAGGCUCCAACUGUGUUGCUUGGCUGCGUUGCUCACCCAAUAAGGAGUCUAAGAACGACUGGGGGGUGGAGCUUGCAUGCCUUGUGCCAGUCAAAUCGGCCGCGUUGCCUGGGGACUCGCCUUUGCUCAGCGCUUCCCAGCGGAGAGGUAACGGUGGUUUUCCUUGCUGCACCCCCUUUGCCGGGUUGCUGUGCUGUGGGAAUCACCGCUUGAGGCUUCGUUUGGCUGCUGGAUGGGCUUUCUGCCUUUGGCUCGGAGGGGCUCAGAAGCUGAGCAUACCUGUGCUUGGAAAAUCCCUUAUUCUGGCUGCUGAUCCCUUAUUUUCGAGGCUGCUGAUCCCUUAUUUUCAAAUCUGUAAGUUGACAGCUAUGCCCUUAUGGGGUACCCAAGAGCCCAUACAGAGUCCUUUUGUAGGUUCUCUAUCGGUAGGAGAAAAUAACAGAGGCCAACCAGAGAAUAUUGAGAAGCAAAGCAGCUAGUAAGCCUGAUCUUUAUUGAACUGUUGCAACAGGGUGCUCCCCUCACCCGCAGGAGAGGAGGAGGACCCCGAACAAAGGCAUGCCCGCCCUUAUAUAGAUAUUUUAAAUUGCCUGCCCUGGAGUCCAAGACCACCCCCAGAAACAUCAUACCUACAUCACAGAAAAGGCGGUCUACAACAGAAAUCUGAGUGCAUUGUUUAUCUCCUAUCUGGCAAGUUACCUGAUUGCAUUGGGUUUUGGCCACUCUUUUGUUAUUAUAACUACUUAAUUCCUGAAUCUAGGUCACAGGCUCACACCCUGUUCAUAUCUUGAAUGUGCCCUUAAGACAGGAUUUGUGAGGACAGGAUUUGUGAGGAAAGAGACAAUGGGGAGGUUUCCCACUUUGACCUUGCAGAGAAAUAUUUGAGGUCAGUUUGUUCAGGACGUAAUCUGUGGGGUUUCAGAAAUGUGGUUUAUAUAUACAGUUAUGAACAUUUAAUUUUUUUAUAUAUGAAAAAAUUAUUAUAACACCAGGCUACGUGAGCAAAGCAAUGUGCCAGACACAAAGCAGCUAUCCCACGACUAGGGGCAUCGGUUGCUCAGCGGAGGAACAAGAAUUACAUAGGAUAGGAAUGAGAGUCUGGAAGCUAAACUGCAUGCUAAGUUACGCUUUUUAGAAGCUGCUCUUCAUACUGCCACUCUUAUCAGGUGCAGAAAGCAGCUGAUCAGCAGCUGCUGCUAGAGAGGAGAGGCGAUUCAACAGCAAAUAGCAGCUUCUCUUCCAUUCCCCUUAACACAAUGUACUUCACAUAACAUGCUCUGUUGACCCUGAGCCAGGGCACCUGACCUGCAGACCUGACUUCUGCAAAGUACAGGGAGUGUUGUUAGAGGAUGGGACAGUGGGCCUGAGAUCCAGGUCCUUGUCACCAGGCCUUCGUGCCAGAUUCCAGUCUCCUUUCCCCUUUCCCUCCCCUUUCAAAAGGUGUUUUUGUUGUUACAUUGCUUACACGAAUGAUAGGAAACCCAGUCUCUUUCAUAUGUGGUGGACUUGUAAAAGGGUAGAGACAUCACCUUGCCAACAAACGUCUGUAUAGUAAAAGCUAUGGUUUUCCCAGUAGUGAUGUAUGGAAGUGAAAGCUGGACCAUAAAGAAGGCUGAUCACCGAAUAAUUGAUGCUUUUGAAUUAUGAUGCUGGAGGAGACUCUUGAGAGUCCCAUGGACUGCAAGAAGAUCAGACCUAUCCAUUCUUAAGAAAAUCAGCCCUGAGUGCUCACUGGAAGGACAGAUCCUGAAGCUGAGGCUCCAAUACUUUGGCCACCUCAUGAGAAGAGAAGACUCCCUGGAAAAGACCCUGAUGUUGGGAAAGAUGGAGGGCACAAGGAGAAGGGGACGACAGAGGACGAGAUGGUUGGACAGUGUUCUCGAAGUUACCAGCAUGAGUUUGACCAAACUGCGGGAGGCAGUGGAAGACAGAAGUGCCUGGUGUGCUCUGGUCCAUGGGGUCACGACGAGUCAGACACGACUAAACCACUAAACAACAACAACAAAAGAGUAUUGGGAAAUUAUCCUUAAUGAAUUGAAAAAAAUGUUUAAAAGUACAGUGGGUGCUCGGGUUGCAAACGUGAUCUGUGUAGGAUGCACGUUUGCAAGCCGCAGCAGCACAUCUGCGCAAGCGCAGGUUGCGAUUUGGUGCUUCUGCGCAUGCACAAAGCACAAUUUAGCACUUUUGCGCAUGCGCGACUGCCGAAACCCGGAAGUAACCCAUUCCAUUACUUUCGGGUUUCAGCGGUCCAUAACCCAAAAAAAACGCAACCUCAAGCGUCUGUAACCUGAGGUAUGACUGUACUUUCCCCCAAAACCAGAGUCCUUUCUGUAGGGGAUAAUUCAGACUGAAAUUCCCAGGUGUCAAAAAAGGUUAUUUAUGUAUGCCACUACUGCGGCCAGUGUUUUGUUAGCCCAAAAAUGGAAAACGAGCGAGGUCCCAAACAAAGAAGAAUGGCAACUUAAGCUGACAGAAUAUGCACAACUCACAGACUUAACACAGAGUAACAGAACAAGCAUACGUUUAAAGAAGAUUGGAAAACGUUUAUUGAAUAUAUGUGAAAUAACUGUGUACAGCUAAAAAUGCUGGCAGCAUUAAGAUAAAUCUGACGGUGUAAAUAUGCACCUGUACUUUAAGAUCCACAGAUAGAUGUGGCGGAGGGAGGAAACUUGGCCAAAAAUCUGAAAACGCUGGCAGCAUUAAGAUAAAUUCAGCAGUGUAAACAAGUUAUGAUAGAUGCAAUAAUGGAAUACUGAAGGGUAUAGUUCUUGUAAAAUAUGCAGGAAUUUAUGUAAAAUGAACCAUGGAAAGAGAAGAAGGGAACUCAUUGAUAUCUUAUAGGUGUAAAAUGAGUAUUUUAAAUGGUAAAACAGAAAAUUUAACAAACAUACACACAUUUAUAUCCCGCCCAUCUGGCUGGGUUUCCCCAGCCACUCUCUCUCUCUAUAUACCCAGUUUCUUGUGACACACCACUCAACUGCCCUGAAUUAAACAGGAUUGACAGCCCCAGUUUUUGUUUGAUGUCCAUGAUGUUUUAUGGUGUUUUUAAGUCGCAUUUUAAUCAAUGUUUUGUAUUUGCUGUUAGCCACCCUGAGCCCGGUUUUUAAACCGGGAAGGGCGGGGUAAAAAUAUAUAUUUUUUACUAUUAUUAUUAUUAUGUCCUGCUUUUGCCUCUUUACCUCUUUCUCCUCCUCUAGGACAGCCUACCAUAGGCUCCACCGCCAUUGUGACCAACCUCUGCUGCUGCCGUAUACCUGGGAGCAGGCACAGUGCAUCAGGAAGCGCACUGCCGGACGAAGGAGCGCCACUUCCAGUAGCUCUAGCGAGGCCAAGAAGGCCAAACACAUGUGCACCCACCCACACCCCUAUGCCUGCCCCUCUGUCCUCUAUCUGGGCAAGCAAAAGGCGUUAUCAAGGACACAUCCUAGCUAAACGAAAACACCAAAGGAUAGUGCAAUGCAGGGUCAGUGAAAGGCACUUCCUGGGGAAAAGGGAUAUACAGUGGUACCUCGGCUUACAUACGCUUCAGGUUAUAUACGCUUCAGGUUACAGACUCCACUAACAGAAAUAGUGCUUCAGGUUAAGAACUUUGCUUCAGGAUGAGAACAGUAAUUGUGCUCCGACGGCGCGGCAGCAGCAGGAGGCCCCAUUAGCUAAAGUGGUGCUUCAGGUUAAGAACAGUUUCAGGUUAAGUACGGACCUCCAGAACGAAUUAAGUACUUAACCCAAGGUACCACUGUAGUUGGGGAGAGGGUGCGCUGUGGGGAGGGUCCCAAGGGGUCUGGAGGGCCACUUUAGCCCCCUACUCUGAGCUUCCCCACCCUUGGCUUAGUGGGUAGCUGGGCACAUUGAAAAGCACAGUACUGGUGAGGUGAAAGAUCUUAAUUAGGUAGGUAAAAAGGUAAAGGGACCCCUGACCAUUAGGUCCAGUCGUGGCCGACUCUGGGGUUGCGGUGCUCAUCUCGUUUUAUUGGCCGAGGGAGCCAGCGUACAGCUACCGGGUCAUGUGGCCAGCAUGACUAAGCCGCUUCUGGCGAACCAGAGCAGAGCACGGGCAUCGGGAGGGGGGGAGGGUUGGAGACUGACUUGGAAGAAGGGAUCCGUCACCUGGGGGCAGUGGCGUUGCGUGGGGGGUGCAGGGGGGGCCGGCCGCACCGGGCGCAACAUCUGGGGGGAGCCGCUCGCACUCGCAGCUCUCUGCCCCUACCUGGCUCACUCACUCUCUCUCACUGCAGUGCUGGCUGUGCGAAUCCGAUCCGAGCCGCUGGGUCGCCGCCCACUGUGGUGGGGGUGGGGGCCAGGCGUGCGGUGCGGAGAGAGAGCGAGGGACUAUCUGGGGGAGGGACAGUGCAGCGGCCGCCCAGCGCAGCGCUGAGCGCGGGAGAGAACCACACCAGACCAGACCAGGCAGCAGCAAGAAGAAGCUGGCAGCGGCGGCAGGUUAGAGGUUAGGGGGCGCAAAUUACGUGCCUUGCCCCGGGUUAGGGGGCGCAAAUUACUUGCCUUGCCCCGGGUGCUGACAACCCACGCUAUGCCGCUGCCUGGGGGAGCCUGUCACAGCCAGGAGAUGAGAGGCAGAGGCAGGAGAAGAAAAGGUGUAAGAGGAGGGAGAGAUGGGUCAAGCUGGUGUGGAAUCAAUGGCUUCCCUGCCUCUUCCUCCAGCCAAAACCUCCCCUGCUCCACUGUCUCCCAGGACCAGGAGAGGACUGAAGCAGGGGGAGCAGAAGCAGGGGUACAUGUGGGCAUAGUCCUCGCCUACAACUCAGGUGGGGGAGAUAUAAAAGUUGAGGUCAGGGGCCUCUCGGAUGCAGAGACGGCCUCAUUAGAUGCCCACACAAGAGUAGCUGAAAGCUGUGGAAAUGAUGGGCAUGCCUUUUCCUAACUUGUAAGCGUGCCUUUGACAAUCAAGAGUGAAUUCCUGGCAUACAAAAGAUGAACAGGUCAAAUCUGUAAUGAUACACUGGGCAAAGGAUCUGGGACAUAAUAUUCAGAUGACAGACCGGGAAAGGUUAUGAAAACAGAUUUGAAAUUUGCACACUGAAAGCAAAUUGUAUGAAAAUGAUGUACCGGUGGUAUUUGACUCCUAGUAAAUUAGCAAAAAGGUAUAGAACAAGUACCAAGACCUGCUGGAAAUGUAAAGAAAACGAAGGUACCUUUUAUCACAUGUGGUGGUCAUGUAAGGUAAUAAAAGCUUUCUGGGAGAUGAUAUAUAAUGAAAUGAAGAAAGUGUUUAAAAUAACUUUUGUUAAAAAAAACAGAAGCUUUUCUAUUAGAAAUUAUAGAUUCAGACGUUCCGAAGGAUCAAAAGAGACUUGUUAUGUAUGCGACGAUAGCCGCACGGAUGUUACUAGCCCAGGGAUGGGAAGAAGAAAGAGUCCCUACCAGAGAAGAAUGGCAAGCUAAGCUGAUGGACUACACCAAAAUGGCAAAGAUGACUGGAAAACUCAGGAACCAAGAGGACAAAAACUUUUUAAAAGGAU